GGCGAGUGGCGAACGGGUGAGUAAUAUAUCGGAACGUACCUUUCAGUGGGGGAUAACGUAGCGAAAGUUACGCUAAUACCGCAUAUUCUGUGAGCAGGAAAGCAGGGGAUCGCAAGACCUUGCGCUGAUUGAGCGGCCGAUAUCAGAUUAGCUAGUUGGUGAGGUAAAGGCUCACCAAGGCGACGAUCUGUAGCGGGUCUGAGAGGAUGAUCCGCCACACUGGAACUGACGACACGGUCCCAGACUCCUACGGGAGGCAGCAGUGGGGAAUUUUGGACCAAUGGGCGCAAGCCUGAUCCAGCCAUGCCGCGUGAGUGAAGAAGGCCUUCGGGUUGUAAAGCUCUUUCGGCCGGGAAGAAAUCGCACAGGUUAAUACCCUGUGUGGAUGACGGUGCCGGAAUAAGAAGCACCGGCUAACUACGUG
Molecule: ribosomal RNA, 424 nt
Filed under: uncultured bacterium
Lineage: Bacteria
Description: bacterial SSU rRNA
Rfam family: Bacterial small subunit ribosomal RNA
Source: RNAcentral